RNAcentral lists this ribosomal RNA (448 nucleotides) under Bacillus sp. (in: firmicutes). RNAcentral describes it as "bacterial SSU rRNA". It matches the Rfam family "Bacterial small subunit ribosomal RNA", at positions 356 to 797 of the family's 1533-position model. Lineage: Bacteria; Bacillati; Bacillota; Bacilli; Caryophanales; Bacillaceae. The record is from RNAcentral.
GGCAAGCAUAGCGGUGAUGACGAGUCUGACGGAGCACUGCCGCGUGAGUGAUGAAGGUUUUCGGAUCGUAAAGCUCUGUUGUUAGGGAAGAACACGUGCAAAAAUAACUGCUUGCACCUUGACGGUACCUAACCAGAAAGCCACGGCUAACUACGUGCCAGCAGCCGCGGUAAUACGUAGGUGGCAAGCGUUGUCCGGAAUUAUUGGGCGUAAAGGGCUCGCAGGCGGUUUCUUAAGUCUGAUGUGAAAGCCCCCGGCUCAACCGGGGAGGGUCAUUGGAAACUGGGAAACUUGAUUGCAAAAAAGGAAAGGGAAAUUCCCCGUGUACCGGUGAAAUGCGUAAAGAUGUGAAGGAACACCAUGGGCGAAGGCAACUCUCUGGUCUGUAACUGACCCUAAGGACCGAAAGCGUGGGGAGCGAACAGGAUUAAAUACCCCCGGUAUCAAA